GAUGAAGAACGCAGCGAAAUGCGAUAAGUAAUGUGAAUUGCAGAGUUCAGUGAAUCAUCGAGUCUUUGAACGCACAUUGCGCCCCCUGGUAUUCCGGGGGGCAUGCCUGUCCGAGCGUCAUUGCUGCCCUCAAGCACGGCUUGUGUGUUGGGCUUCCGUCCCUGGCAACGGGGACGGGCCCAAAAGGCAGUGGCGGCACCAUGUCUGGUCCUCGAGCGUAUGGGGCUUUGUCACCCGCUCCCGUAGGUCCAGCUGGCAGCUAGCCUCGCAACCAAUCUUUUUAACCAGGUUGACCUCGGAUCAGGUAGGGAUACCCGCUGAACUUAAGCAUAUCAAUAAGCGGAGGA
Molecule: unclassified non-coding RNA, 347 nt
Filed under: soil metagenome
Description: partial contains 5.8S ribosomal RNA, internal transcribed spacer 2, and large subunit ribosomal RNA
Rfam family: 5.8S ribosomal RNA (bases 1-120)
Source: RNAcentral